UACGGGGGGGGCAAGCGUUGUUCGGAAUUACUGGGCGUAAAGGGCUCGUAGGCGGCCAACUAAGUCGGAUGUGAAAUCCCCAGGCUUAACCUGGGAACUGCAUCCGAUACUGGAUGGCUUGAAUCCGGGAGAGGGAUGCAGAAUUCCUGGUGUAGCGGUGAAAUGCGCAGAUAUCUGGAGGAACACCGGUGGCGAAGGCGGCAUCCUGGACCGACACUGACGCUGAGGAGCGAAAGCCAGGGGAGCAAACGGG
RNAcentral lists this ribosomal RNA (253 nucleotides) under uncultured bacterium. Its description in RNAcentral is "partial 16S ribosomal RNA". It matches the Rfam family "Bacterial small subunit ribosomal RNA", at positions 524 to 776 of the family's 1533-position model. The record is from RNAcentral.